GGACGUUUGGAGACCGUUUUGAGAGGCAAAGACAUUUCAGAGUAUAGAUUUGCUCGAUUUGAGAUCCAAGUGCGUUUGAUCACGGAGGUCGUUGAAUUCGUGUGCGAUCGAGUAUCGGAGACUACGAGAUGGCGAGGACACAUACUACAGGGCAGGAUGGACAUCCACCAGUAUCACCAGUCAGGGCCGUGAGAGGCCGAGGUCGCAGUAGAGGCCGUGGUAGGGGCAGAGGUGCAGCUCGCACCGUAGCUAAGGCAGCACCUGCAGAUCCACUAGUUGCCCCAUUUCAGGAGUAGGCUCCAGUUAUGGAUGAGUCAGUGGGACCAGCUCAUGAACCACCUGUGCCUAUUGUGAUUCCAGGCCUUCAGGAGGCCUUAGCUCAGAUUCUGACCACGUGUACAAGUCUUGCUCAGGCGGCCUCUGUUCCGGUAGCAGCAGCCACUUCUCAAGCAGGGGGAGGUGCUCAGACUCCCGCCGCCCGCACACCAGAGCA
Molecule: non-coding RNA, 493 nt
Organism: Nicotiana tabacum (common tobacco)
Lineage: Eukaryota; Viridiplantae; Streptophyta; Magnoliopsida; Solanales; Solanaceae
Source: RefSeq, a predicted model, not a curated record